RNAcentral lists this long non-coding RNA (256 nucleotides) under Homo sapiens (human). Its description in RNAcentral is "HSALNT0265058". Lineage: Eukaryota; Metazoa; Chordata; Mammalia; Primates; Hominidae. The record is from RNAcentral.
UCUGCACACUGGAUUCGUGCCCUCCCCCAACUUCUGGCUGGGAGGCUUCUCACCCAGUUCAAAUUAUUACAAAGCUCAGCUGGAGAUUUCCUUCUCCCUGUGAUGUUUUUCCCCACUCCUCUGGUUGCCCUCCUGAUGGAUCCCUGUGGUGCCAGGCAGGAAUGGCCUGUUUGGGGACCCAGUGAGCUCUCAGUGCCUUUCUUGCUGCUUCCUCCACCCCUGUAUUUCACUUGGCUCUCUAAAUUGACUCAGCUCC